GAUGAACGCUGGCGGCGUGCCUAAUACAUGCAAGUCGAGCGAACAGACGAGGAGCUUGCUCCUCUGACGUUAGCGGCAGACGGGUGAGUAACACGUGGAUAACCUCCCUAUAAGACUGGGAUAACUUCGGGACACCGGAGCUAAUACCGGAUAAUAUAUUGAACCGCAUUGUUCAAUAGUGAAAGACGGUUUUGCUGUCACUUAUAGAUGGAUCUGCGCCGCAUUAGCUAGUUGGUAAGGUAACGGCUUACCAAGGCAACGAUGCGUAGCCGACCUGAGAGGGUGAUCGGCCACACUGGAACUGAGACACGGUCAAGACUCCUACGGGAGGCAGCAGUAGGGAAUCUGCCGCAAUGGGCGAAAGCCUGACGGAGCAACGCCGCGUGAGUGAUGAAGGUGUUCGGAUCGUAAAACUCUGUUAUUAGGGAAGAACAAAUGUGUAAGUAACUAUGCACGUCUUGACGGUACCUAAUCAGAAAGCCACGGCUAACUACGUG
Molecule: ribosomal RNA, 497 nt
Filed under: uncultured bacterium
Lineage: Bacteria
Description: partial 16S ribosomal RNA
Rfam family: Bacterial small subunit ribosomal RNA
Source: RNAcentral